This 546-nucleotide ribosomal RNA is filed under the name uncultured bacterium. RNAcentral describes it as "bacterial SSU rRNA". It matches the Rfam family "Bacterial small subunit ribosomal RNA", at positions 98 to 633 of the family's 1533-position model. The record is from RNAcentral.
GCGAACGGGUGAGUAACACGUAGGUGAUCUACCCUGAAGUUGGGGAUAGCCUGUGGAAACACAGGGUAAUACCGAAUGUGGUCGGGCUCUUAUGAGAGCCUGAGCAAAGGGGCUUCGGCCUCGCUUUGGGAUGAGCCUGCGGCGCAUUAGUUAGUUGGCGGGGUAACGGCCCACCAAGGCAACGAUGCGUAGCCGGCCUGAGAGGGUGAUCGGCCACACUGGGACUGAGAUACGGCCCAGACUCCUACGGGAGGCAGCAGCUAAGAAUCUUCCGCAAUGGGCGAAAGCCUGACGGAGCGACGCCGCGUGGAGGACGAAGGCCGAGAGGUUGUAAACUCCUUUUCUGCGUGAGGAAUAAUCACCGGAGGGAAUGCCGGUGAGAUGACGGUAGCGCAGGAAUAAGCCCCGGCCAAUUACGUGCCAGCAGCCGCGGUAAUACGUAUGGGGCGAGCGUUGUUCGGAAUCAUUGGGCGUAAAGGGCGCGCAGGCGGCUGUGCAAGCCUGGUGUGAAAGACCACAGCUUAACUGUGGGAGCGCGCUGGGAAC